This 516-nucleotide long non-coding RNA is filed under the name Trifolium pratense (red clover). RNAcentral describes it as "long non-coding RNA (TPRA_LNC004162)". The record is from RNAcentral. Lineage: Eukaryota; Viridiplantae; Streptophyta; Magnoliopsida; Fabales; Fabaceae.
AGGAAAAUGCUUAAUACAACGAAUUUGAGUUUCACGACAACAUCACGAAUGACGUGUACCAAUAAGCGCAUGUGAUUCAUGUUUCUCUCUCCUUGUUUUUUUCAAUUAGAUUAAUUUGAAAAGGAGAUCUACGGUUCAACUGUGCUGUCAUCGGUAAAACCGAGGUUUGGCAAAUUCCUCAUUUGAUAACAGAUCUGCUACUGCUAGUAACUCCUCUCUAUCAACGAAUCAUGAAUAGAGUGGUACUGUGCUCCAGUUUUGCAAGCACCCCGAGAUUCUCUCAUAAGAGAAUUAGACCCAAUUUAAAACUUAAUUAGAUGCUAAAGUAGAAAAAAUUUCAAAGAAUGAGCAACAUAGCCUUCCACUCACCAGAGCAAGCGGUGAUGACGGUGGAAAAGGUGUUUUUGGAAUGUUAUCAUGGUUCUGUUUUUGUAUAGAUAUUUUAUAAGGAAAUACAUAUAAAGAAAACAGUGGUAUUCGUGAAAAUUCGCGAUGCACUGUUUCGCGAUAAAUAGC